This 72-nucleotide transfer RNA is filed under the name Candidatus Nanohaloarchaea archaeon. RNAcentral's name for it is "tRNA-Ala". It matches the Rfam family "tRNA". From Rfam's summary of the family: Transfer RNA (tRNA) molecules are approximately 80 nucleotides in length. Their secondary structure includes four short double-helical elements and three loops (D, anti-codon, and T loops). The record is from RNAcentral. Lineage: Archaea; Methanobacteriati; Methanobacteriota; Candidatus Nanohaloarchaea.
GGGCUCUUAGUUCAGUGGCAGAACGUCUGCUUCGCAAGCAGAAGGCCCCGGGUUCAAAUCCCGGAGAGUCCA